RNAcentral lists this ribosomal RNA (253 nucleotides) under uncultured bacterium. RNAcentral describes it as "partial 16S ribosomal RNA". It matches the Rfam family "Bacterial small subunit ribosomal RNA", at positions 524 to 776 of the family's 1533-position model. The record is from RNAcentral.
UACGGAGGGAGCUAGCGUUGUUCGGAAUUACUGGGCGUAAAGCGCACGUAGGCGGCUUUGUAAGUUAGAGGUGAAAGCCCAGAGCUCAACUCUGGAAUUGCCUUUUAGACUGCAUCGCUUGAAUCAUGGAGAGGUCAGUGGAAUUCCGAGUGUAGAGGUGAAAUUCGUAGAUAUUCGGAAGAACACCAGUGGCGAAGGCGGCUGACUGGACAUGUAUUGACGCUGAGGUGCGAAAGCGUGGGGAGCAAACAGG